CUUAAGCGGCGCCGUCAAUUUACCAUGCGUCAUCUUUCUGUCUGUCGUGCAUUUGUCUGCCUUUUGUCUGUCGUCAUUGAUCAAACCAACCAACCACUUUCCUUGAAACUUGGCACGUGGGUAAAGACUCGAUGACAAUGCAAUCUCACAUCAAAUUUAAUUUAAUUAGAAGCUGUAUUAAUUUAUUAAGAAUUAAUUAAAAUGUCCUAUGUAAAAUACUAUUUACCGCGCACAUUUUUCAUGUUCAUUCGGUGCGCAAUUAAUUUUAGUCAUGAAGUUUUAUUGUGUUCAAAAGUUAUAAGAAUUGAGAUAUUUUUUAUAUAAUUAUGCACAAAUUAGUAGAAAAUAAAUGAUUGUCUAUAAUUGUAUAAUAAUGCACUAAUAUAUGAAUUUUGCUUUAUUAGCUCCAUGUGUCUUGGGCACGAAUGGGAAAAGUUUGUGAUCAUUUAAAUAACUGUAAAGAAAAGCGCGGGUCAAUAUAUUAUUCAGUUUCAUUAAAACUUAAGAAGCAACAUACGCUUCUCUUUAUAUUUAUUUAAAUAGUGAAUUAUAAUAUAUAUUUAUAGAAAAUCAUUUAUUUUAACUUUUUAGCGCAACAUUAUAUUAAAACGUUUUUUUUUUAAUUUUAAAAUGUAUUAUCUUCUUUCCUAAAUGCAAUUUUAUCUAUACCAUUUUACAUGAAAUACUCAUUUGUUUGUAGCUAUAGUAAGAACACUAUUUUUUUUUAAACAUACGUAUGUUUUAAUUUUUUUAAAAAUAUACCUGCACUUUUUGAUAUUAUGUUGUACAAUGUGAUAAUCAGCCCGUCCAGUAGACGCUUUCCGAUAACCACCAUGUCUUUUUCAAUUUCAACAUGUAUUCUAAGCAAUUUUUCAAUAGAAUUAGAUUUAUCAGGUUAGGCUGUUGACGGUUUGAAAUCUUAAAUAUACUAGAAUAUAGUUUUGGCGAAGGUUUAUCACCUAAAUAAAAGAGACUUCUGAUGAGUAAAGCACAUAGGCCUAGACUGUCUGAUACACAACACAGCCCUUGGUGUAAAUGUUUUGUAAUAAAUCGGGAGUUCCCGAAACGAGACUUGUGUGUUGCGGGGUGGGGCUUGCAGCUGCAGACGUGUCAAGGUGGUGUGUGAACUGUUUGCUACGCGUGUGUAGUUUUCAUUUGCCCGCGGCAUGGACCUUUCUUCCAAUUGUUGUGACUUCGAAUCGUCUGUUAUUGGGGUGUGUGCAGUCUGAGGCCCCCAUCACUUGGUUAAAACAUGUCGACAGCAUCUUUACCUAGAUACACAUCUAUUAAUUAGAUACUGCGUCUGUUCUUUGCUGCGUGGUCUAAAAAAAAGUAGACAUGGAGUAGAAUCCACACUAGGAAUGAUCUAUCAUACAAAACAAAUAGUUUGAGGAACAAUUGGGAAGUCGGAUGUGCUAAAAAUGGUGAACAUCUUCGUUUAAAUAGUCGGACAAAAAAUGACUCUCUAAAAACUACCACGAGAUAUUGCAAGCAACAGGCCCGAAAGAAUAAAUUUCACAUACGAUAUCACAGUGUUGUAAAGCCUCAUGCCUACUCCUUCCCGAGAAAAUACUUGUGGAAAUAUAAAUGGAAUCAUUCAUCAAAGUAUGUCAAGAAAAAAAUUAAGAAAACAAAAAAGAAAGCUAUGAAUGUUAAUAUGAAAAAAUUGACAAAAGCAAACGAAUUGGAUAUCAAUUAUAUCGGGUACGCCAGAGAAUAGAAACAAACUAGAUCGAAAUCUGUGACGGAUAUGGAUGGUACUUUACCAGUGCUGGCUGUGCAGAAUUUGAUUGAGCGUGCUCUAAGUACCGAAACAACGAAAAUAAAAUCUAAAAAACAAAAACCAAGUGGGAUUGGCAAGAGGGUAGUACAUUUCAAUCUAAAUUACAACCCAAACAUUAUCCACCAUUGUAGCGAGUUGAAUGUCGAGAAUGUGAAAUACCUGGCUUUAGACAGCAAUCAGAACAUCUUCAUUGGGCAUG
Physella acuta is the source of this 1982-nucleotide long non-coding RNA. RefSeq lists it as uncharacterized. NCBI's taxonomy places the organism in Eukaryota, Metazoa, Mollusca, Gastropoda, Physidae. The record is from RefSeq and is a predicted model, not a curated record.